GAAGCAAGUCACUGGGUUCAGCCUACACUUAAGAGAGAGGACUAAGCAUGGGAGUAGAUACUAGGAGAGAAGGAAGCUCACAGAAACAUUAUCAUCUCAUGUCUCUGAAUAAUUUCUUUCGUGACUGAAGUGGCCACUAUGAAAAGGACCUACCUCAGCAGCUCAUGUUACUGUGAUCAAGUUCUGCCCAGCUGGUGAACACUCCCGUCCUGCCUUCCAUCUCUGCAGUCCCUUUGGAGCUUUCCAUAGGUGUUUAAUCUUUCCAGAAUUUACCCUUCAGGGUUAAGUUCUACUUUAGUCUAAGGUCAAUAUUUAUUUUAGAAGCAAGUGUGCCAAUGCAAUUGUUAGAAGACAUCUCAUAGAAAACCAGGACACAUGAGAUAAAUUCUUCUAGGUGGGAUUCCCUCAGCCGAAAGGUGACAUGUUGGCAUAAGGAGAACAUGAGCUGAAAUAUCCCUGAAUUUUUAGAACAAAAAGGUUGAAGUUCAAGUUAUACUUGCUAAGAAAUCAAGUAUUGAAAAAAGGCAUCAAUCUGCUCAAUCUUCCCGGAGAAGAGGACACUUAAGCUAAGAAAUGACAACAUCACAAUGUACAAUUAUCAACACAAAAGCAGACUGCCAUUCAGUUUGCUGAAGAGCAUACAGAUCCCUAAAGUAGCAUCGGCUUAAGUGAACUAGCUUUGUUAAGUCUGUAGCAUGUCAUUAUUUAUUACCUGCAGUUAAGAGGAAAUUCCUAAAACUAUGUAUUUGAGCAAUGAACUUGUCAUACAAUUUUGUAUAAAACUUACAGUAUAGCAUGUGAGAUGAGCACCAGAAAACAUGUGUUGUGGACUAAUAUAUUCCCUUGAAUCCAGUAAGCCCCAUUGUGGAUUUAACUGGCUAUAUUAAAAAUGGACACAUUGCUCAUCAGCAGAUGCAUGGCGAAAAGCAAAAAUAGUUUAAAAGCUUUCCUUGUUUCCUUAAAAAAAAAAAUCAACUUUGCAUUCUAAAAUGAAAGUAAACUUUUUUUUUUUAAACAUCUCAGUACCUUAGCAUUGUUCAAGUUGUCAAAGCUUAGGUAGACAAAGUGCUUCUAAAACACCAUUUAAAAUAUUUAUACAUAUACGUGUGUGCACAUAUACAUAUGUGUAUAUAUAUAUGUACAUAUAUACGUUUAUUGUCCUACAAGGACUUCACUGGAUGAGCAAAAUCCAGAGGCCUUUAAAUGUCCACAUUUUUUUUUUAAAAAAACCUCGUGUAAGAAUAGGUAAUUAUGCUAAAAACUUGAAUGAAAAGGUACCCCUAUUAUUCAAGGGCCUUGGAGUACACUGAUAGCAUCUUGAUGAUACAAGGCAUUAAAUUUUUAAUUGUUAAAGACACCAUUUUCUUAGCACCAUUUCUUAGAACAUCCAAACAAAUUCAGUGUUUUGCUGUCUAUUCAUUUAUGCUUCCUGUAGCUAUUUUGAUAAAUAAAAGUUAAUAUUAAGAUUA
Molecule: long non-coding RNA, 1469 nt
Organism: Canis lupus familiaris (dog)
Lineage: Eukaryota; Metazoa; Chordata; Mammalia; Carnivora; Canidae
Exons: 6
Source: RefSeq, a predicted model, not a curated record